CUAGGAGAUUGGAUAUAGUCCCACAACUUAUAGAUAUUGCACAUACAUAUGUGAAUAUGUUUCAAGGUAAUCUGAUAAAAGCAAAGGACAGCUUGAAGUGCUCUAGAUGGUCCAUUUGAGGAUGGGGAUCAGAGGAGGUUUUAGGAAGAGGUAAAGAAAGGUCCAAACAUCCUACUCCCCUAUUCCAUAAACUCUCAUGUUUGGCAUUCAACGUUCUUCAUAAUCUAGUCACCUCUUAAUUUUCAAGUUUUCUUAUACCUUACUUUCUGCCACUUACUCUAUAAUCCAGUGACUCUGGCCUCCCCUGACUGUUCUAGGAACAAGACAUUCCUUCUCAUAGCUCAAGUUAUUCUCUCUGGCUGCCCCCUAUGCCUAAAACACUCUCCCUUCUCUGCUCUGACUGCUGACCUCUCCAAUUCCCUUUAAGUUCCAACUGCCUCUUUUAAUUCCAGUGCUUUCCUGUAUAAUUUCCAAUUUAUCCUGUAUAUAGAUGCUUUGAAUAUACUUGUUUGCCUUUUGUCUACUGUAGUAAGGGAUUUCUAGCAGGGCAUAACAAGACAGGCUGACAGCAUGGGAUGUUGCAAAACCAAGAUUCCACAGAGCAAGGACUGGGUCAAUAUUCUAAGCACUGGGUAGCUGAGAGGCAGUUGGGGACUGACAGUUGGGAACUGUCCCCUGGAAGAAGACAGAGAAGUAGUUCCAAAACAUGAAGGAGACCCAGUCAUUUCACAGUUCUCUAUGUUGAAAUGAGGAUCACAACAAUUUCAUUAGAGACACAGUGUAACCCAGCACCAUCCCAUCUGCUUCUUAGAUUUAAAAGAAUCUUCUCACCACCGGAAGAGAUCUCGGAGGCUCUCCAGUGUAAGGAAGUCUACAUCCAGUCUCUUGAGAUGUCAUGCAGACUCCAGUAACUCUUAAGCUGGCUGUGACUAGAGAGGCUGCUACAGGGACUUGAAACUGCUUGGUGGUAAUGGAGGUAGAACAGAGAAAUGCUGAGGGAUGCCACACACAGAGAGACGCUGGUAACAGGGGACACUGUUUAUAAAGGACUGCUCUGGGGUUUACGCCAGGAUUUUCCUACGGAUUGUUGAUGGAUCAAUCUACUUCCUAACCCUCUUCCUCCAUCCCUCCCUCCCUUGCCUCCCUUACCUCCCCAAUCUUCUUUGAAGCCUUUGCUUCUUCCCUCCCUCCUGAGUGAACUAUAAAGAUACUCUAGUUGCUUUUUUGGUUAAGAGGUUUAUUGGGAUAACAGGAUGGGAAACUGAGG
This 1267-nucleotide long non-coding RNA is filed under the name Monodelphis domestica (gray short-tailed opossum). RNAcentral's name for it is "lncRNA (ENSMODG00000042608.1)". Lineage: Eukaryota; Metazoa; Chordata; Mammalia; Didelphimorphia; Didelphidae. The record is from RNAcentral.